AUGAGAACUACAUCUUGGAAGUAACUGCACUCGGACCUGGAUCUUUCGCUGGUUUAUGUCCAUGGCUUUCUGGGCAAGACAUAAAGGAAAGAAUGCUGAGAUACUCUCGAACAGCUCAUGUGUUUUCAUUGAUAAGAGACAGUGGACCUGGGAAAGUGAAGUCAGCAGGAAGGAUAAGUUUUAACUUCAGCAAAUAUGACAAAGAAAAUAUGAAGAAAGGGCUGAGGCAGGCAUUAAGGGUGUUAAUUGCAGCUGGGGCUGUUGAAGUGGGUACUCAAAGAAGCGAUGGGCAGAAAUUGAAAUGCAAAGGGACAGGUAAAGAGGAGAUCGAGGAGUUCUUGGAGACAGUAGAUGCAUUACCUGGUCCGAUGUCAAUGGUGGAACGAUGGAGUCUAUAUUGUUCGGCUCAUCAAAUGGGGAGUUGCAGAAUGGGGAAAAGUGAG
This 443-nucleotide long non-coding RNA is filed under the name Lactuca sativa (garden lettuce). Its description in RNAcentral is "long non-coding RNA (LSAT_LNC001471)". The record is from RNAcentral. Lineage: Eukaryota; Viridiplantae; Streptophyta; Magnoliopsida; Asterales; Asteraceae.